This 3089-nucleotide long non-coding RNA is filed under the name Sus scrofa (pig). RNAcentral describes it as "lncRNA (ENSSSCG00015066041.1)". Lineage: Eukaryota; Metazoa; Chordata; Mammalia; Artiodactyla; Suidae. The record is from RNAcentral.
GAGGCCGCGGGCCGCCCCCCAGGCAGGGUCGAGGCGGCGCUCAGCUGCUUCUCUUUCAACCAGGACUGCACGGAAGGCUGGUGCUUCCCCGGACUGGUGCGGGUCUUGGUAGCCACCCCUUCCUCUUUUCCCCUCUUCCAGCAGGGGGGCUGAGCGCCCCCAUCCCCCGCUGCAGGCGGAGAGCCAGGAGCGGCCGGCCGAGAAGGAAGGAGGGAGUUAGCCAGGGGAAUGGGGCUAAAGGAGGCUAAGGAAUGUGGGGGACGAGGGAGGAGGGUAAUGACCUAAGUGGGGGUCUGGAGAAGGAGGAGCAGUGGCCAAAACAAAGGAGAUGGGAAGGGAGCGGGGGUUGCAAAUUGACCGAAGGCGAAGUGUUGAGGCCCGGGAAGAUGGGAGCACAGGAAAAAGUUUCCCAUUUGUCCUUGAGCAUCUCAACGUGGCAUCUGGGCAGGGCCAAUGACAAAGAGGCAGCCUAUCCCUGCGGCCAGGCCAGCCCCUGCCCCAGCCCCAGCGCAGAGCACCUCGCCUGCCGGCUCUGGACGUCAGAAACUUUGCCAUUGGUCUAUACUGGGUUUUCACUUAACCCACUCAGCGAGACACAGUCUCCUUCUCCCAGUCUAGGAACCCUUUCCCGGCCCCGGGCUGGGGCUGCCUUCUCCGAGAAGCAUGAACUCCACCCUGUUGCUUUUUGAGUGGCUUUUUAAUGUUUCACCUUGAUGUUCACUUUUGGACUUUGGCCAGAGAGCCUGGAGUUGUUUCAAACAUCUGGAGGAUUCAGCCCCACCCCCACCCCCCCAGAAGCAAACGCCUUACCUCUUUUCAUGUUAGACUCCAGCUCUGUGGACCAUAUGGAAUAAUCUCUUUGGAAUGUGCACCCAGAGCAUCAGGCAGCAAUUCCCAGUUUCCCAUUUCCUGCUGUACCAGUUUCUGUUGUGUUCCUUGUUUGGAGUCAGCUUCAGGUUUGUGUGUUGGCUGCCUGUGGCCGGGCUAUGCUAAUAUUGAACAUUCGGUGGUGUAAUUAAGGCCAUCCUGUACCAUAAGCAACUCUGGCUCCCAUUGCCUUUGUGUUUCUGUUUAAAAAACACCCUAUGCUAAACAAUAUGCCUUUGUUUGGGGAAAAAAAAAACAAAACAGCAACAACUGUAUGUGCCAUCGGGUAGCUGGGCAACCUGGGUAGAUGAGUGACUUUCAAGCUUUCUUUGACCACAGCCCAUGAUACGAAAUCCAUAUUACAACAUUACCCCAUAUCCAUCUAUGUAAUAUCACUGUAAAACCAUUUGCAACAUGAUGUUUACCUUUAAAAUAUGCACUACCCUUUGGUAUUUUCUGUUUCUUUUCUUUUUUUUUUUAAGCCAUUUGUGACUCACUGAGUUGUUUUUAGCAUCUACUCACAAGUUGAGACCCAGAGUUUACAAAAAUGAUGGUCUAGAUACAAUUCUGAUGUUUUGUAAGACACAUUUUGCAAGAGAGGAUGGCUGUUGAAAUGCCUGGGUGUUUUCCUUCCCAACUGAAUGCAUGUUAAGAAGGGGCGCUUAUCAGCUUGCUUAUUAGGGGGAAAUGCUCUGAAUUCUGCUUUGUAGCGUUAUUAAUUUUUUUAAGGGAUAUUAAUUUUUCCUCUAGAUAAGUCCCAGCUUUUCUAUAGUAAUUGGAUUAGAAUGUUAUUUUCUAAACUGUAGGGUGCUUGGGAAGCUAAUUUCCUUACUCCCUACUGUCAGUUCUGUUUUCUUGGAUGAAGCCUCUGCUGGGCAGCUCUGUCUCACCUAUAAAUAAAAGUUUUUGUCACAGUCAGUUGCUUUGAGCCUCAGAGGGUAUGACAUUGGAUUUUAAAAUAAGUCAAGUCCCUUACCGAGCACGUUCUGGAGUAUCAGGCUGAAUGUGGAAUCUAGUAUUUCUGGAGAAGGUGGGUGAAGACAGCUAAAUUUUAUCAGCUUCCUUUACUCAUGCUUGGCCAGGGGCUAGACAAUUUGGGUAUUUUUUAAAAAUUGAUUUGUGGAGUUCCCGUCGUGGCGCAGUGGUUAACGAAUCUGACCGGGAACCAUGGGGUUGGGGGUUCGAUCCCUGGCCUUGCUCAGUGGGUUAAGGAUCCAGUGUUGCCGUGAGCUGUGGUGUAGGUUGCAGACGCGGCUUGGAUCCUGCAUUGCUGUGGCUCUGGCGUAGGCCAGCGGCUGCAGCUCCGAUUCGACCCCUAGCCUGGGAAUCUCCAUAUGCCGCGGGAGCGGCCCAAGAAAUGGCAAAAAAGACUAAGAAAACAAAAAAAAAUUAAUUUGUGAUAAAUAUUUGUCCAAAAUCCCAUUUUCAAGCAAGGUGAUGAAUUUUUUUUUUUUUCCUGCAGAAAAGUCUUAGGAUGAAAUAAAGUUUUAGUCUGAAUUCUUUGAUUCAGAAUUUUUUUGUGGCCAUUGAUCAACCAUUUAAAACACCAUAGUGAUCACACUACCUUUCCUCAUUUUUAAAAUUCUUCUGCUCCUGAGACGGGGCAUGUGUUUGAAAAUGUAUUUUAAAUUGCCAAAUGUUUUGGUUAAUAUUAUACUUUACACGACAUCUUUUUCUCUGGCCCUCAAGCUUUAGAAACCUCAGUUUGCAACUAAAUGCACAUAUAUUUACGCGAAAAAGUUUAUGAGAAGAAAGUUUAAACAUAGUGGUUGCUGCGGAGUGUGUACAUUUAGGGAUUUUAAGAUGCGGCUGGCUUGCCUUUCCAGUUGCUGUUGCUCAUCGUGAAUGCUGCAGUUCUGGAAGGCAAACCCCAGUUCUCUGUACCUGCUGCUCUUACCCAAAUGUCUACCAUCAGGAUAGCCACUGAGCAGAUCCGGAGGGCUAGGGAGCAGAAGCAGCCACCUUGGUGAUUAAACCAACUGUAAGAGUUCCCGUCGUGGCGCAGUGGUUAACGAAUCCGACUAGGAACCAUGAGGUUGCGGGUUUAGUCCCUGCCCUUGCUCAGUGGGUUAACGAUCCAGCGUUGCCGUGAGCUGUGGUGUAGGUUGCAGACGUGGCUCGGAUCCCACAUUGCUGUGGCUCUGGUGUAGGCCGGAGGCUACAGCUCGGAUUGGACCCAUAGCCUGGGAACCUCCAUAUGCCUCGGGAGCGGCCCUAGAAAU